GUCGCACGAGAACGCUUCAGCUUGCUGAAGCUAGUAAAGUGGCGUACGGGUGAGUAUCGCGUGGGUAAUCUACCUCUGAAUUGGGGAUAACAUUGCGAAAGCGAUGCUAAUACCGGAUAAUAUCCAUUAAACCUCGGUUUUUUGGAUCAAAGGUGGCCUCUACAUGUAAGCUACUGUUUGGAGACGAGCCCGCGUACCAUUAGCUUGUUGGUAGGGUAACGGCUUACCAAGGCAACGAUGGUUAGCUGGUCUGAGAGGAUGAUCAGCCACACUGGAACUGACACACGGUCCAGACUCCUACGGGAGGCAGCAGUGAGGAAUUUUGCGCAAUGGGGGAAACCCUGACGCAGCAACGCCGCGUGAGUGAUGAAGGCUUUCGGGUCGUAAAGCUCUGUCAAGUGGGAAGAACCCGCGCCGCACAAAUAGUGCGGUGCGCUGACGGUACCACUGAAGGAAGCACCGGCUAACUCCGUG
This 474-nucleotide ribosomal RNA is filed under the name uncultured bacterium. RNAcentral describes it as "bacterial SSU rRNA". It matches the Rfam family "Bacterial small subunit ribosomal RNA", at positions 61 to 507 of the family's 1533-position model. The record is from RNAcentral.